This 77-nucleotide transfer RNA is filed under the name Vibrio splendidus. RNAcentral's name for it is "tRNA-Arg". It matches the Rfam family "tRNA". Rfam says of the family: Transfer RNA (tRNA) molecules are approximately 80 nucleotides in length. The record is from RNAcentral. Lineage: Bacteria; Pseudomonadati; Pseudomonadota; Gammaproteobacteria; Vibrionales; Vibrionaceae. RNAcentral also lists the same sequence under 172 other names.
GCGCCCUUAGCUCAGCUGGAUAGAGCACCUCCCUUCUAAGGAGGUGGUCGAAGGUUCGAAUCCUUCAGGGCGUGCCA